RNAcentral lists this ribosomal RNA (2930 nucleotides) under Escherichia coli O91:H21. RNAcentral describes it as "23S ribosomal RNA". It matches the Rfam family "Bacterial large subunit ribosomal RNA". Lineage: Bacteria; Pseudomonadati; Pseudomonadota; Gammaproteobacteria; Enterobacterales; Enterobacteriaceae. The record is from RNAcentral.
GGGUUGUGAGGUUAAGCGACUAAGCGUACACGGUGGAUGCCCUGGCAGUCAGAGGCGAUGAAGGACGUGCUAAUCUGCGAUAAGCGUCGGUAAGGUGAUAUGAACCGUUAUAACCGGCGAUUUCCGAAUGGGGAAACCCAGUGUGAUUCGUCACACUAUCAUUAACUGAAUCCAUAGGUUAAUGAGGCGAACCGGGGGAACUGAAACAUCUAAGUACCCCGAGGAAAAGAAAUCAACCGAGAUUCCCCCAGUAGCGGCGAGCGAACGGGGAGGAGCCCAGAGCCUGAAUCAGUGUGUGUGUUAGUGGAAGCGUCUGGAAAGGCGCGCGAUACAGGGUGACAGCCCCGUACACAAAAAUGCACAUGCUGUGAGCUCGAUGAGUAGGGCGGGACACGUGGUAUCCUGUCUGAAUAUGGGGGGACCAUCCUCCAAGGCUAAAUACUCCUGACUGACCGAUAGUGAACCAGUACCGUGAGGGAAAGGCGAAAAGAACCCCGGCGAGGGGAGUGAAAAAGAACCUGAAACCGUGUACGUACAAGCAGUGGGAGCACGCUUAGGCGUGUGACUGCGUACCUUUUGUAUAAUGGGUCAGCGACUUAUAUUCUGUAGCAAGGUUAACCGAAUAGGGGAGCCGAAGGGAAACCGAGUCUUAACUGGGCGUUAAGUUGCAGGGUAUAGACCCGAAACCCGGUGAUCUAGCCAUGGGCAGGUUGAAGGUUGGGUAACACUAACUGGAGGACCGAACCGACUAAUGUUGAAAAAUUAGCGGAUGACUUGUGGCUGGGGGUGAAAGGCCAAUCAAACCGGGAGAUAGCUGGUUCUCCCCGAAAGCUAUUUAGGUAGCGCCUCGUGAAUUCAUCUCCGGGGGUAGAGCACUGUUUCGGCAAGGGGGUCAUCCCGACUUACCAACCCGAUGCAAACUGCGAAUACCGGAGAAUGUUAUCACGGGAGACACACGGCGGGUGCUAACGUCCGUCGUGAAGAGGGAAACAACCCAGACCGCCAGCUAAGGUCCCAAAGUCAUGGUUAAGUGGGAAACGAUGUGGGAAGGCCCAGACAGCCAGGAUGUUGGCUUAGAAGCAGCCAUCAUUUAAAGAAAGCGUAAUAGCUCACUGGUCGAGUCGGCCUGCGCGGAAGAUGUAACGGGGCUAAACCAUGCACCGAAGCUGCGGCAGCGACGCUGAUGCGUUGUUGGGUAGGGGAGCGUUCUGUAAGCCUGCGAAGGUGUGCUGUGAGGCAUGCUGGAGGUAUCAGAAGUGCGAAUGCUGACAUAAGUAACGAUAAAGCGGGUGAAAAGCCCGCUCGCCGGAAGACCAAGGGUUCCUGUCCAACGUUAAUCGGGGCAGGGUGAGUCGACCCCUAAGGCGAGGCCGAAAGGCGUAGUCGAUGGGAAACAGGUUAAUAUUCCUGUACUUGGUGUUACUGCGAAGGGGGGACGGAGAAGGCUAUGUUGGCCGGGCGACGGUUGUCCCGGUUUAAGCGUGUAGGCUGGUUUUCCAGGCAAAUCCGGAAAAUCAAGGCUGAGGCGUGAUGACGAGGCACUACGGUGCUGAAGCAACAAAUGCCCUGCUUCCAGGAAAAGCCUCUAAGCAUCAGGUAACAUCAAAUCGUACCCCAAACCGACACAGGUGGUCAGGUAGAGAAUACCAAGGCGCUUGAGAGAACUCGGGUGAAGGAACUAGGCAAAAUGGUGCCGUAACUUCGGGAGAAGGCACGCUGAUAUGUAGGUGAAGUCCCUCGCGGAUGGAGCUGAAAUCAGUCGAAGAUACCAGCUGGCUGCAACUGUUUAUUAAAAACACAGCACUGUGCAAACACGAAAGUGGACGUAUACGGUGUGACGCCUGCCCGGUGCCGGAAGGUUAAUUGAUGGGGUCAGCGCAAGCGAAGCUCUUGAUCGAAGCCCCGGUAAACGGCGGCCGUAACUAUAACGGUCCUAAGGUAGCGAAAUUCCUUGUCGGGUAAGUUCCGACCUGCACGAAUGGCGUAAUGAUGGCCAGGCUGUCUCCACCCGAGACUCAGUGAAAUUGAACUCGCUGUGAAGAUGCAGUGUACCCGCGGCAAGACGGAAAGACCCCGUGAACCUUUACUAUAGCUUGACACUGAACAUUGAGCCUUGAUGUGUAGGAUAGGUGGGAGGCUUUGAAGUGUGGACGCCAGUCUGCAUGGAGCCGACCUUGAAAUACCACCCUUUAAUGUUUGAUGUUCUAACGUGGACCCGUAAUCCGGGUUGCGGACAGUGUCUGGUGGGUAGUUUGACUGGGGCGGUCUCCUCCUAAAGAGUAACGGAGGAGCACGAAGGUUGGCUAAUCCUGGUCGGACAUCAGGAGGUUAGUGCAAUGGCAUAAGCCAGCUUGACUGCGAGCGUGACGGCGCGAGCAGGUGCGAAAGCAGGUCAUAGUGAUCCGGUGGUUCUGAAUGGAAGGGCCAUCGCUCAACGGAUAAAAGGUACUCCGGGGAUAACAGGCUGAUACCGCCCAAGAGUUCAUAUCGACGGCGGUGUUUGGCACCUCGAUGUCGGCUCAUCACAUCCUGGGGCUGAAGUAGGUCCCAAGGGUAUGGCUGUUCGCCAUUUAAAGUGGUACGCGAGCUGGGUUUAGAACGUCGUGAGACAGUUCGGUCCCUAUCUGCCGUGGGCGCUGGAGAACUGAGGGGGGCUGCUCCUAGUACGAGAGGACCGGAGUGGACGCAUCACUGGUGUUCGGGUUGUCAUGCCAAUGGCACUGCCCGGUAGCUAAAUGCGGAAGAGAUAAGUGCUGAAAGCAUCUAAGCACGAAACUUGCCCCGAGAUGAGUUCUCCCUGACUCCUUGAGAGUCCUGAAGGAACGUUGAAGACGACGACGUUGAUAGGCCGGGUGUGUAAGCGCAGCGAUGCGUUGAGCUAACCGGUACUAAUGAACCGUGAGGCUUAACCUUACAACGCCGAAGCUGUU